GACGAACGCUGGCGGCGUGCUUAACACAUGCAAGUCGAACGGAAAGGCCCUGCUUGCCGGGUGCUCGAGUGGCGAACGGGUGAGUAACACGUGGGUGAUCUGCCCCUUACUUUGGGAUAAGCCUUGGAAACUGGGUCUAAUACUGGAUAGGAGCAUGCUGUAGGUGGUGUGGUGGAAAGAUUAGUUUCGGUAAGGGGUGAGCUCGCGGCCGAUCAGCUUGUUGGUGGGGUAAUGGCCGACCAAGGCGUCGACGGGGGGCCGGCCGGAGAGGGUGGACGGCGACAUUGGGAGUGAGAUACGACCCAGACUCCUACUGGGGGCGGCAGUGGGGAGGAUUGUACAAUAGGGGCAAGCCUGAUGCAGCGACGCCGCGUGGGGGGGGACGGCGUUCUUGGUGUAAACUCCUUUCAGCCAUGGCGAAGACCUUGUGGUGACGGUAAUGGGAGAAGAAGCACCGGCUAACUACGUG
This 469-nucleotide ribosomal RNA is filed under the name uncultured bacterium. RNAcentral's name for it is "partial 16S ribosomal RNA". It matches the Rfam family "Bacterial small subunit ribosomal RNA", at positions 28 to 507 of the family's 1533-position model. The record is from RNAcentral.